UAAGGAAUAUUGCUCAAUGGGAGAAAUCCUGAAGCAGCAACGCCGCGUGGAGGAUGAAGGGUCUAUGACUUGUAAACUCCUGUAAAGAAGGAAAAAAUUCCCAUUAGAUGGGAGAUGAUGGUACUUCUGGAGUAAGCCCCGGCUAACUACGUGCCAGCAGCCGCGGUAAUACGUAGGGGGCAAGCGUUGUCCGGAUUUACUGGGUGUAAAGGGUGCUCAGGCGGAUUUGUAAGUCAGAGGUGAAAUCUUACAGCUUAACUGUGAAACUGCCUUUGAUACUGCAAGCCUAGAGUAUGGAAGAGAGUGAUGGAAUAUCUGGUGUAGCAGUGAAAUGCGUAGAUAUCAGAUAGAACACCAAUGGCGAAGGCAGUCACUUGGUCCAUUACUGACGCUAAAGCACGAAAGCGUGGUAGCAAACA
RNAcentral lists this ribosomal RNA (419 nucleotides) under uncultured bacterium. RNAcentral's name for it is "bacterial SSU rRNA". It matches the Rfam family "Bacterial small subunit ribosomal RNA", at positions 355 to 774 of the family's 1533-position model. The record is from RNAcentral.